GGCAUCGGGAUUGAAGCUUGCUUCAAUUGCCGGCGACCGGCGCACGGGUGCGUAACGCGUAUGUAACCUACCUAUAACAGGGGCAUAACACUGAGAAAUUGGUACUAAUUCCCCAUAAUAUUCGGAGAGGCAUCUCUCCGGGUUGAAAACUCCGGUGGUUAUAGAUGGACAUGCGUUGUAUUAGCUAGUUGGUGAGGUAACGGCUCACCAAGGCAACGAUACAUAGGGGGACUGAGAGGUUAACCCCCCACACUGGUACUGAGACACGGACCAGACUCCUACGGGAGGCAGCAGUGAGGAAUAUUGGUCAAUGGACGCAAGUCUGAACCAGCCAUGCCGCGUGCAGGAAGACGGCUCUAUGAGUUGUAAACUGCUUUUGUACGAGGGUAAACUCACCUACGUGUAGGUGACUGAAAGUAUCGUACGAAUAAGGAUCGGCUAACUCCGUGCCAGCAGCCGCGGUAAUACGGAGGAUUCAAGCGUUAUCCGGAUUUAUUGGGUUUAAAGGGUGCGUAGGCGGUUUGAUAAGUUAGAGGUGAAAUCCCGGGGCUUAACUCCGGAACUGCCUCUAAUACUGUUAGACUAGGGAGUAGUUGCGGUAGGCGGAAUGUAUGGUGUAGCGGUGAAAUGCUUAGAGAUCAUACAGAACACCGAUUGCGAAGGCAGCUUACCAAACUAUA
This 680-nucleotide ribosomal RNA is filed under the name uncultured Bacteroidales bacterium. Its description in RNAcentral is "bacterial SSU rRNA". It matches the Rfam family "Bacterial small subunit ribosomal RNA", at positions 68 to 738 of the family's 1533-position model. Lineage: Bacteria; Pseudomonadati; Bacteroidota; Bacteroidia; Bacteroidales. The record is from RNAcentral.